CCUACGGGAGGCAGCAGUGGGGAAUAUUGGACAAUGGGGGCAACCCUGAUCCAGCCAUGCCGCGUGUGUGAAGAAGGCCCUCGGGUUGUAAAGCACUUUCAGUGAGGAAGAACGCCUGGUGGUUAAUACCCAUCAGGAAUGACAUCACUCACAGAAGAAGCACCGGCUAACUCCGUGCCAGCAGCCGCGGUAAUACGGAGGGUGCGAGCGUUAAUCGGAAUUACUGGGCGUAAAGCGCGCGUAGGUGGCUUGAUAAGCCGGUUGUGAAAGCCCCGGGCUCAACCUGGGAACGGCAUCCGGAACUGUCAAGCUAGAGUGCAGGAGAGGAAGGUAGAAUUCCUGGUGUAGCGGUGAAAUGUGUAGAGAUCGGGAGGAAUACCAGUGGCGAAGGCGGCCUUCUGGACUGACACUGACACUGAGGUGCGAAAGCGUGGGUAGCAAACAGGAUUAGAUACCCUAGUAGUC
RNAcentral lists this ribosomal RNA (465 nucleotides) under Vreelandella stevensii. RNAcentral describes it as "partial 16S ribosomal RNA". It matches the Rfam family "Bacterial small subunit ribosomal RNA", at positions 338 to 795 of the family's 1533-position model. The record is from RNAcentral. Lineage: Bacteria; Pseudomonadati; Pseudomonadota; Gammaproteobacteria; Oceanospirillales; Halomonadaceae.